Long non-coding RNA from Raphanus sativus (radish), 339 nucleotides. RefSeq lists it as uncharacterized. NCBI's taxonomy places the organism in Eukaryota, Viridiplantae, Streptophyta, Magnoliopsida, Brassicales, Brassicaceae. The transcript is spliced from 3 exons. The record is from RefSeq and is a predicted model, not a curated record.
AAGGUUUUUGGCGGAUUAGACAAGGAGAAGGCGAAAUGGUGAGACAAAGAGAGAAGCUCGCUUCGUAGACGAGAAGAAUCAUUUAUCGAACAGAUGCGUGUUGUACAAGGGGAUCGACGUUUCACACUAUAGAAUGGGUCGGUUCUUGAUUCUAUCAUUGGAGUGCACCUCACUCCAAACGUUUCUGACCACCAAUCAAGAAAUUAAUGAAAGCACAAGUUGUCUUGAUCUUCAAGAAGGCAUUGAAGACUCACCAGGACCUGACUCAAUUCAGCAUCGAGACUCAUCGUUUAGAGAACUCACCACCCCGGUGGAUGAGGAUAGUUUUAUAAUGCCAAA